RNAcentral lists this unclassified non-coding RNA (264 nucleotides) under Hevea brasiliensis (rubber tree). Lineage: Eukaryota; Viridiplantae; Streptophyta; Magnoliopsida; Malpighiales; Euphorbiaceae. The record is from RNAcentral.
GGUGUAUGUGGUGAUAAGAUAGAGGGAAGAGGGAUUGUCAAACAUGGGGACGAAUGCAAGCAGAGGGAUUAUGCCUAGAGAUGCAGCGAAGGAGAUAGUGUUGCAGAUAACGAGUUCUUGGCUGUUAUAUUUAGCAAUACACUUUCUGUCGUUUCAUCUUGAUGAAUUGGAAUUGGCAUGGUCAUGGAAUCUGAGAGUUGGUAGCUUGUAAAGAUUGCAGACGAGGUGACUGCUUCCACUUUCACUUCAGCUAAAUGCAAGAUA